This 1944-nucleotide long non-coding RNA is filed under the name Marmota monax (woodchuck). Lineage: Eukaryota; Metazoa; Chordata; Mammalia; Rodentia; Sciuridae. The record is from RNAcentral.
GUGAGGACUGCCCAAAGCUCCUGGCAGAGAGAGCCAGCACCAGGCGGGGAAGACCAGGGGCGCCAGGCAGGUGACCUUCCCAGCCUGCCCGGACCCAGUCACGGAAGAAGAUGUGAGUCCCGGCAAGACAGAGGCACGUGCGGCCCGACCAGGUGACGGUGGGAUGCGGCAGGACCAGCACAGGUUUCCAGGACUUUGAGUCUUUUUAAAUCAUUCGCCUUUGGCCUUGAUUUCCCACUCACCUCACAGGUCCCUGCUUCCCGGGGUGCGUGGACUCGGGCCACACACCUCUUGGGUCAGCUCCGCAGUGAUGGGAGGUGUGAAGUCCCAGAAGGGCUGAGCCGGGGGGCAUCAGAGGUGACCGAGCCCCAGCACCUCUCACCCCUGUGGGGUGGACCACCUGGCCACCUGGGCCUCAGUCGGGGAUGGCAGCACUGCCCAGAUGCUUCCUUCUGUCAUUGACACCAGGUGAGCCCUGGACCUGCUGGCCAGUCUGAGUCCCACCCACAGAACAGAUCCAGGGCACCCGAGGGACGCAGACAGCCACCUGUCUUGCAGCAGCCCUGGGCUCCCGACCGGGGCUCCCAGCCAUCACCUCCUCAGGAGCCCACCCACCCUCUCAACAACUGGGGACAUACCUCAGGAGGCCACAGCUGCUCUUGAAGGAAAGCCAGGACAGAGCAGCAGGCCCCUCAGCAGACAGGGCAUGGGGACCCCAGCAGGCAGAUGGGGCGUGGGGACCCCCCAGCAGGACACGGGCUCAGAAGAGAGGAAGCUCGUGUUCCACUUAGGGGGUCAGAAUUGCAGCCGCAGAGCACGGGUCUUCUGCCCCCAUCCUCGUGUCUCCAGCCUCCUGUCCCCGCCUACAGCCCCUCUUCUCCUGCUCGAGCUGGUUCCUGGCCCCUUGCACAUUCACAGGCAUGUGGACUUUCCCUUCUCCUAGUUGUCAUCAACAUUUCUCCUGUUGCUCUCUCCCAUGGCUGUGUUUGUCUCCUGGGCCACUCUGCCCUCUGGGUCUUGGGCACUACCUGUGAGCUCGUGUGGUCAGUGGAGGCUGGCCUGCCCUCCGGCUGCACUGGGCUCUCCUGGCUGCUCACGCCUUCUGAUCUUGGGCUCAUUGGCCUGCCUGUAACACCUGGUCCCUGCCCACUGGUGGCACCCAAAGCCAAGGUCUCUCUGCCCUCACAGGAAUGGUCCUGCCUGUGUGGCUCCAGGCCAUCUGCCGCAGUCAGGGCUGGUCCCUAGUGGGUGGAGGGUACUUGGCCUGUGUCCUCAGCUGGACAAGUGUCCACGUGUGGACCUGAACAUGUCCUGCUGGAGGCAGGAGGAGAAGCUGUCAGCCAGAAGGUCCAGGCUCUCCCCCUGCUGCCCUGACAGCUGCCCCAGCAUACGACGGAGAGGCGGCUUGCAACUGGACCCUAGCUGGGCUGCUCUAGAAGUCCAGUUGCUGUCAGUGCAGGUGAGAGGAGGCAGAGCAGGCAACUCCUGCUGGACACUGGGGUGCAGAGUGCUUGUGGGUGGACACAGAUCCAAAUCAGGGAAUCAGCAGGUGGCCCCCAAAGGGCUCUGCAUCAGAUGAGCCCGCACAGCCAUGCCCAGGUGGACACGACGCUGGAGGACGAGAACCCCAGCCCGAGGGCCACUGUGCUCCUCCCGUCCCCUGGGCUCUGGUGGGAUCGGUGGUGUGAGUCUGGCUGGUUCUGUGGGAGGCUGUGCCCAGGAACUGGGGAGCACCCAGAUGUCUGUGUGGUCAGCCAGGAGCCAUGGCAGGGACACACUCAACACCCUGCCGGCCCCAGAUGGCCCAGAAGCUUUCCCAGCCCCCUGGCCAGUUGUCCCAUGGAGGAAGCCUCCAUGACACCUACCCACUGCCGCAGCUCAGCAACGCCCAGGGCCAGUGUGCUAAACUCCAGGCACUGAUGGUGCAGCCAUGCUGGAGCCAGG